Molecule: ribosomal RNA, 253 nt
Filed under: uncultured bacterium
Lineage: Bacteria
Description: partial 16S ribosomal RNA
Rfam family: Bacterial small subunit ribosomal RNA
Source: RNAcentral
UACGUAGGGGGCUAGCGUUGUCCGGAAUCAUUGGGCGUAAAGCGCGUGUAGGCGGCUUUGCAAGUCGGGUGUGAAAGCCCUCAGCUCAACUGAGGAAGUGCGCCCGAAACUGCAGAGCUUGAGUGCCGGAGAGGGUGGCGGAAUUCCCCAAGUAGAGGUGAAAUUCGUAGAUAUGGGGAGGAACACCGGUGGCGAAGGCGGCCACCUGGACGGUAACUGACGCUGAGACGCGAAAGCGUGGGGAGCAAACAGG